GCAUUUUGAGUCUAUUAGGAUUAGUUUAACCCUUAGUUUCCUUAAUUUUGAUAGUUUAGUCACUUGGAACUCUUGAGGUGUGCUUUUGUGUGUUAAAUGAUUGCAGUGAGAAUUAUAAUUGGAAAAUUUAGAUUUGGAACUUAAAGUUUAAGGACUUGGAGUGAAUUAGGGUCAAAAGAUGGACGAUUUGGAGCUUCUUGGAUAUACAAAUGAAAUAUCACAACCUUGGAAGCAAGAGAAACUUGAAGAAAUGGAAGCCAACAAGUGCCACACUCAAGGUGUGACAACCAUCACUAGUGUGGGUGUUCCAAGGAGCUCAAAAACUACUUCUAUCAAAGAUCACACCUUGGAUGUGGAACCCACCACAAAUUUGGCCGUCUAGGAGUGCUAAGAAGUUAGCCACAACAAAGUUCACAUUUCAGGUGUGGCACGUUUUCUAAGGGUGUGAUGAUCUUGUAGCUCAUUAUUUUGUGUUUUAAAGUUUUAAACUACACGGGCUUAGACCCUAAUUGUAGCCUAAAUAAAAAUAAACCUCUUAGGAUUAGGAAAAAGGUUUUGAACCUUUAGAUUUAGACGACUAAGAGGAAAAGCUUGGAUCAUUAUCCUUUCACUCUUCUUCCGAGUUUGAUGUUUUCUUUCUGUUAUUUUAUUCUCAUG
RNAcentral lists this long non-coding RNA (657 nucleotides) under Glycine max (soybean). Its description in RNAcentral is "long non-coding RNA (GMAX_LNC000910)". Lineage: Eukaryota; Viridiplantae; Streptophyta; Magnoliopsida; Fabales; Fabaceae. The record is from RNAcentral.